UUCUCGUCAGACAUGAAAUAUCUGGUAUGGUUUUCGUGUCUCACUUAUGUAUGUGGACUCGUCGAAUUUCAACAUCCAGACAACGGACUACUGCGCCGUACAACUGUGGAUUCAGAUAUAAAAAGAUCUCAGUUUCAGGAAAAAGAAGAUCAACCUCCUUACAUUCCGCCAGUGGAAUUUGGAAGAAAAAGAGAAGCACCACUCUUGGAAAAACUACACCUACUCCAUGAAGAAAGGAAUGAAAAAAGACGGUUUUGAGCAAUGACAGACAACUUUUAAAGAAGCAAAACCCCAUAGGAAAAUUCAACUGGAUGAAUCGACUCAAAAUUUCUACAGUGUUGUUUUAAUUAUAACAUAUUAACUUAAAUGCAGUGCACGGUGCAGAUGCUGUGACUCUAAUGUUUAAAAGCACUUUAUAAAAACCUAAGAUAAAGAGAAUCUGUCUCUCUAAACUGC
Long non-coding RNA from Stylophora pistillata, 456 nucleotides. RefSeq lists it as uncharacterized. NCBI's taxonomy places the organism in Eukaryota, Metazoa, Cnidaria, Anthozoa, Scleractinia, Pocilloporidae. The record is from RefSeq and is a predicted model, not a curated record.